This 564-nucleotide long non-coding RNA is filed under the name Numida meleagris (helmeted guineafowl). RNAcentral describes it as "lncRNA (ENSNMEG00000000921.1)". Lineage: Eukaryota; Metazoa; Chordata; Aves; Galliformes; Numididae. The record is from RNAcentral.
GUGCAGAGAUCUCUUAUGGUUGGUUAAUAUUUAUCGCUUCUCAUUGGCAGGGGCGGGGAGGAAUGAAGCAAACGUGCAAGCUCUGAGCUGCAGACAAAAAUGUGCACGCAGUCCAUGUUUGUACGGUUACAUGCUGGCAUAUGCAAGUUUGGAGCAGUGCUUUCAAGGAGGUUAAAAAUACCUGGAGCUGCAAGUCUGGCCUAUUUACUACAGAAUUCAUGAGUCAUCCACUAUACUGAAGUCUUGAAAUAUCACAGAGUCUUUCAGACGAAAUCUCAAUGUGGAAGGCAGCAAUGGGAUACGCAGACUUUGACUCCAUGAUGUAGCUGUUGCUGAAGGCUUGGCCCAUGAAUGUGAAUGGGAAUAUGAUCAAAUGCAGCUUGCUAUUGCAGGAGUAACACGACUUCUCUGUAAACUGGCCUCUCAACUGUACAGGAUUUGCACUGAAGGCACCCAGUCUACCGUGUUUGUGGCACAAAACUGUCAUAAAAGUCCAUCACCCUUAAAAAUAUUAGAAAUCCAAGGGAAGCACUUCUGGUAGCAGAUCACACAUUCAGAAGAUAA